AGUGAACGCUGGCGGUAGGCCUAACACAUGCAAGUCGAACGGCAGCACAGUAAGAGCUUGCUCUUACGGGUGGCGAGUGGCGGACGGGUGAGGAAUACAUCGGAAUCUACUUUUUCGUGGGGGAUAACGUAGGGAAACUUACGCCAAUACCGCAUACGACCUACGGGUGAGAGCAGGGGAUCUUCGGACCUUGCGCGAUUGAAUGAGCCGAUGUCGGAUUAGCUAGUUGGCGGGGUAAAGGCCCACCAAGGCGACGAUCCGUAGCUGGUCUGAGAGGAUGAUCAGCCACACUGGAACUGAGACACGGUCCAGACUCCUACGGGAGGCAGCAGUGGGGAAUAUUGGACAAUGGGCGCAAGCCUGAUCCAGCCAUACCGCGUGGGUGAAGAAGGCCUUCGGGUUGUAAAGCCCUUUUGUUGGGAAAGAAAAGCAGCAGGUUAAUACCCCGCUGUUCUGACGGUACCCAAAGAAUAAGCACCGGCUAACUUCGUG
Molecule: ribosomal RNA, 492 nt
Filed under: uncultured bacterium
Lineage: Bacteria
Description: partial 16S ribosomal RNA
Rfam family: Bacterial small subunit ribosomal RNA
Source: RNAcentral